This 300-nucleotide ribosomal RNA is filed under the name uncultured Spirochaeta sp. RNAcentral's name for it is "bacterial SSU rRNA". It matches the Rfam family "Bacterial small subunit ribosomal RNA", at positions 496 to 795 of the family's 1533-position model. Lineage: Bacteria; Pseudomonadati; Spirochaetota; Spirochaetia; Spirochaetales; Spirochaetaceae. The record is from RNAcentral.
CUCAACUGCGUGCAAGGAUGGCAGGGAAGACUUGGGGGCCGGGGUUGGUGCGGAAGUAUGUGGCGUAAAGGGCGCGUAGGCGGUUAGUCACGUCGGGAGUGAAAACUCAGGGCUCAACCCGGAGCGGGCGUCCGAUACGGGCUGACUAGAGGUAUGCAGGGGAGAACGGAAGUCCUGGUGUAGCGGUGGAAUGCGCAGAUAUCAGGAGGAACACCGGUGGCGAAGGCGGUUCUCUGGGCAUUACCUGACGCUGAGGAGCGAAAGCAUGGGGAGCGAACAGGAUUAGAUACCCUGGUAGUC